RNAcentral lists this ribosomal RNA (1556 nucleotides) under Cutibacterium sp. RNAcentral's name for it is "bacterial SSU rRNA". It matches the Rfam family "Bacterial small subunit ribosomal RNA". The record is from RNAcentral. Lineage: Bacteria; Bacillati; Actinomycetota; Actinomycetes; Propionibacteriales; Propionibacteriaceae.
CUACCGUGACUUCGGAUUCUAUCGUGUUUCCCUAAGAGUUUGAUCAUGGCUCAGGACGAACGCUGGCGGCGUGCUUAACACAUGCAAGUCGAACGGAAAGGCCCUGCUUUUGUGGGGUGCUCGAGUGGCGAACGGGUGAGUAACACGUGAGUAACCUGCCCUUGACUUUGGGAUAACUUCAGGAAACUGGGGCUAAUACCGGAUAGGAGCUCCUGCUGCAUGGUGGGGGUUGGAAAGUUUCGGCGGUUGGGGAUGGACUCGCGGCUUAUCAGCUUGUUGGUGGGGUAGUGGCUUACCAAGGCUUUGACGGGUAGCCGGCCUGAGAGGGUGACCGGCCACAUUGGGACUGAGAUACGGCCCAGACUCCUACGGGAGGCAGCAGUGGGGAAUAUUGCACAAUGGGCGGAAGCCUGAUGCAGCAACGCCGCGUGCGGGAUGACGGCCUUCGGGUUGUAAACCGCUUUCGCCUGUGACGAAGCGUGAGUGACGGUAAUGGGUAAAGAAGCACCGGCUAACUACGUGCCAGCAGCCGCGGUGAUACGUAGGGUGCGAGCGUUGUCCGGAUUUAUUGGGCGUAAAGGGCUCGUAGGUGGUUGAUCGCGUCGGAAGUGUAAUCUUGGGGCUUAACCCUGAGCGUGCUUUCGAUACGGGUUGACUUGAGGAAGGUAGGGGAGAAUGGAAUUCCUGGUGGAGCGGUGGAAUGCGCAGAUAUCAGGAGGAACACCAGUGGCGAAGGCGGUUCUCUGGGCCUUUCCUGACGCUGAGGAGCGAAAGCGUGGGGAGCGAACAGGCUUAGAUACCCUGGUAGUCCACGCUGUAAACGGUGGGUACUAGGUGUGGGGUCCAUUCCACGGGUUCCGUGCCGUAGCUAACGCUUUAAGUACCCCGCCUGGGGAGUACGGCCGCAAGGCUAAAACUCAAAGGAAUUGACGGGGCCCCGCACAAGCGGCGGAGCAUGCGGAUUAAUUCGAUGCAACGCGUAGAACCUUACCUGGGUUUGACAUGGAUCGGGAGUGCUCAGAGAUGGGUGUGCCUCUUUUGGGGUCGGUUCACAGGUGGUGCAUGGCUGUCGUCAGCUCGUGUCGUGAGAUGUUGGGUUAAGUCCCGCAACGAGCGCAACCCUUGUUCACUGUUGCCAGCACGUUAUGGUGGGGACUCAGUGGAGACCGCCGGGGUCAACUCGGAGGAAGGUGGGGAUGACGUCAAGUCAUCAUGCCCCUUAUGUCCAGGGCUUCACGCAUGCUACAAUGGCUGGUACAGAGAGUGGCGAGCCUGUGAGGGUGAGCGAAUCUCGGAAAGCCGGUCUCAGUUCGGAUUGGGGUCUGCAACUCGACCUCAUGAAGUCGGAGUCGCUAGUAAUCGCAGAUCAGCAACGCUGCGGUGAAUACGUUCCCGGGGCUUGUACACACCGCCCGUCAAGUCAUGAAAGUUGGUAACACCCGAAGCCGGUGGCCUAACCGUUGUGGGGGAGCCGUCGAAGGUGGGACUGGUGAUUAGGACUAAGUCGUAACAAGGUAACCGUAGGGAAACACGAUAGAAUCCGAAGUCACGGUAGG